UGUGUGGUGUGUUGAUAAAGGCUGGGAAAACAAGGGGAAACCCUUGUUCAUCAUAAAAUCACCAAAUCGAAGGAAGAUUCGAGUCUCAAAUUCGUGCAUGAACAUAAAUUCGUGAUCAUCUAAGCUUGGAAAUCAUGAGGUGAUAGCUAGGACCUUAUGGAUGACGAUCAAGCAUUGUGGUUAAACCGAAAACACAACCGAAGUUCAAGCUUCCGCUUAGUUUCGUUAUUUUACGAACUGAAUCAAUUAUGAACUUUAUAAAGGUCACAUUGAAUUCAAUCAGAUACGUCGAAAUGUGAUGGUUAACGCAUCACAUAACAUUUGGACUAAUCCAUUCAACAUUUACGAUAUACCGGUACCACAACAUGCGCGGGUCUUAUUGCUAGUUGUAUAAAAUAAUGUAACAUCCCAUUUCAGGAUUUACAUUAGACUGGAAAAUGGGAGUUGUAGUUUAGGACCAAGAUGUAAAGGACCAAACUAUAAGGAUUAAUUGUGUAAUUUAACCACUUUGGUUAUA
RNAcentral lists this long non-coding RNA (517 nucleotides) under Helianthus annuus (common sunflower). RNAcentral's name for it is "sRNA HanXRQr2_Chr08g0324381". Lineage: Eukaryota; Viridiplantae; Streptophyta; Magnoliopsida; Asterales; Asteraceae. The record is from RNAcentral.